UACGAAGGGGACUAGCAUUGCUCGGAAUUACUGGGCGUAAAGGGAGCAUAGGCGGGCAGUUAAGUCAGAGGUGAAAGCCCAGGGCUCAACCCUGGAAUAGCCUUUGAAACUGGCUGUCUUGAGUAUGGGAGAGGUAUGCGGAACUCCGAGUGUAGAGGUGAAAUUCGUAGAUAUUCGAAAGAACACCAGUGGCGAAGGCGGCAUACUGGCCCAUUACUGACGCUGAGGCUCGAAAGCGUGGGGAGCAAACAGG
RNAcentral lists this unclassified non-coding RNA (253 nucleotides) under uncultured Caulobacteraceae bacterium. RNAcentral describes it as "contains 16S-23S intergenic spacer region". It matches the Rfam family "Bacterial small subunit ribosomal RNA", at positions 524 to 776 of the family's 1533-position model. The record is from RNAcentral. Lineage: Bacteria; Pseudomonadati; Pseudomonadota; Alphaproteobacteria; Caulobacterales; Caulobacteraceae.